UAAUAAAGGUAAACACUGUGACGUCAUGUCCGUCUUACUGGGCAUGCGCAGACUGUUUAGAAGUGCAUUGUGGGAUGUAAUUACUGUAACAUGAUCCAGACGGCAUAAAAAACACAUUCGGGUGACAGAGUUAAGAAAUCGUGUUGAAUAUAAAUGUAAUGAGGUGAUUGACCUGUAAUUGGUAUAUCAAAUAUGAACGCGGAAUGAAUACCAGUUAGACCAAGCCAGCUUUACAGACACUGACUCUCUCAAAGACAGCAAGGUACAUUAUACAGUUAAUUGAAAACUGUAAUCUCAAACAUAUCUAAUGCUACUUCAACACUUUAUCAUAUACUUAGCAGUUGAAUAUUCUGUAUAAUUGAAAUUAAUCUUCUAUUAGUUUACAGUGACGAUUCUUGCAGGCUAUAUAAUGCAGGCACGGCCCGUUGUGUAUCAUUCAAUCUUUAUCUUUCUCACUUUCUUAUAAAGGCAUAAUGAUCGAUAAUCUCUUGUGUUGCAGUGUGGAAUGUUAAUUUAUUGUGACUAAGGCUAAUCCCUUUCUCCAGACAUUAAUUGAUCACUCACCAACAACUGACAAGGGAUUACUCCUCGUAAAGGCAGUACUAAGUGAUACAGUAUACUGCAGGUUAACUAGAUUAAUUAACUAAUUGAGGUUAAAUGAGAUUGUUUACUUAGAGUGUGAUGUAAUCCGUUUGAUGUCGAAUUACAAAGAGUGAAUCUUCAAAAAGGUUAAGCAUACCCAACACUACUGGUAGCACCUGCCAUUCACAAAUAGUGUUGUUCUGAUACAUCAAGCUAUAAUACUGACACGUUGCUUAAGGGUUAUCGGAAUAAAUUUGAAUUUAAAUUUCACAUGUUUUCCUCCUAGGCUGGCAGAUGAGACAUACAUGAAGAAGCUGGACAGUUGGCAGCUUUCCCUAAGGCAAGACGUGUCCGUUGACCACCAUCCCAAAACCCAUUCCCUGACAUGAAGAAGGAUCUGUCAUGGGUCAAUACCGAGUAUGGAAUCCCUUGUGGUGUGGUGUGGUGUGGUGUGGUGUGUAACGUAAUAUAUGUGGGUAGGUUAGUGACUGAAUUUGCGGAGAUGUGUGUUCGUGGUACUUCUUUGGGAGUGUGAUGUGUAUUUUGUCUCGUAAGCCAAAAUAGUUGUUUAAAUAGUGACACUUUAAUAAACUAUUCUUCUUCUUCUUCUUUUUGUUCAUUGUCAAGAUGCCGUGUAUAACUUCCUAGACUGCUGACAUGUAUUAUCAUGUUUUAUCUUCAAAUACCACGAUGUGCCCACUGAUACCGUCAUUAUGUUGCGAUAUAUUAUAUGAUUGCUUUGUAUAACAUCGGCAUGAUGUUCACUUUCAUUGGGACUGGAUUCUUUGCACAAUAGCCAGAGUAUCUCACAGUUGAAUAUUUUUUUAUCAUUUGCAUUUACAUAAGUAAAGAAAAUAUCAAUUUAAUCUGAAUACGUCAAUGUGUCAAUUUCUUGUUCUAAAAAGUACAGGUAUAAGUAUUCAUAUUCGACUUCUUAUCAUUUGUAUUUGUAAGAAUUUUUUUAAUUUUCUUGUGCCUGUUGUACAUUACAUUUACAGUCGUAGUUUGUUGACUUUGCUAACGAUAUUAGGCUGAGCCCCGAGAAAUGUUUUAAACAUUUGAUUGCAUUUUAAGCAAUUACGUACCGUUUGGACAAUAUUCAUACCAACAAAUGUAACAGUGGCAAAAGUCAAAUAAACAAAGAUGGCGGAUGCAUUAAAAUUUCGGAGUUAAAUCAGUACUUUUAAAAAAUCGGGAAUAGAACCUGGGUUCCAGCCACUAAUGCCUACGUCCACUUUUGCCUACAGUUACUAUUGCCUACAAAAACAUAAAGCAGUGUGGAAUAAUGCCUACACAAAGAAAACAACAUACCCAUGCUAGGAAUGAACUCUUCCAAUAUUAGAUUUCUUUGAAAUCAGCAAAUAUCUGCUGGUGUAUACUAUAAGAACUAAUGCAAUGAUGCAGAAAUCAUAAAUUAUUACUGUUAGUGUUAUGGCAAUGUGAAAUAAAAA
This 2033-nucleotide long non-coding RNA is filed under the name Haliotis rufescens (red abalone). RNAcentral describes it as "uncharacterized LOC125373066". The record is from RNAcentral. Lineage: Eukaryota; Metazoa; Mollusca; Gastropoda; Lepetellida; Haliotidae.